AUCCAAACGACGAGUCCCAAAUAGGACGAAACGCGCGUCCUGUAU
This 45-nucleotide non-coding RNA is filed under the name Schistosoma mansoni. Lineage: Eukaryota; Metazoa; Platyhelminthes; Trematoda; Strigeidida; Schistosomatidae. The record is from RNAcentral.